AUCACCGACAGUAUCUAGCACAGCUGCUAAAGAUUUAAUAGAUGGUAUAGAAAGUCUCAUGUUCGAAGGUUAAUUAUUUUAAACGGCACGAAUAACUUGUUUCCUAUGUAUCAAAAAGGGAAAAAAAGUAUGAAACUAUAGUUUUAGAAGAUAAAAUAUACAAAAUUAUCUGCUGAAUCGGCUAUCUAAUUUUUCAAAAUUUUAAUUUUUACUAUCUAACCUUUCAAUUUGUUUGAUUUGAGCUUACUAAUAGUAUUUUGAUUUUAAAAUCUGAAUGUAUUAUUAAUUUUUACAAGUUUAAUUAGUAAUUAUCUUAAGUUUUGAAGUCAAAAUAUAUUGUUAACAGACUAAAAUCAAACAAAUUGAAAUAAUAGGUAAUAAAAAUCAAAAUUUUAAAAGGUCAGAUAGUCGAUUCAUAAUGGUCCGUAGUUCAGAUAAGUUCUGUAUAUAUAUUUUUAUCUUUAUAAAAUUUCAUUUACUAGAGGGUAUAUAUAUAAUAGUGUUUG
Molecule: long non-coding RNA, 506 nt
Filed under: Ananas comosus (pineapple)
Lineage: Eukaryota; Viridiplantae; Streptophyta; Magnoliopsida; Poales; Bromeliaceae
Description: long non-coding RNA (ACOM_LNC018469)
Source: RNAcentral